AUUGAACGCUGGCGGCAGGCCUAACACAUGCAAGUCGAGCGGAUGAAGGGAGCUUGCUCCUGGAUUCCGCGGCGGACGGGUGAGUAAUGCACAGGAAUCUGCCUGGUAGUGGGGGAUAACGUCCGGACACGGGCGCUAAUACCGCAUACGUCCUGAGGUAGAAAGUGGGGGAUCUUCGGACCUCACGCUAUCAGAUGAGCCUAGGUCGGAUUAGCUAGUUGGUGGGGUAAAGGCCUACCAAGGCGACGAUCCGUAGCUGGUCUGAGAGGAUGAUCAGUCACACUGGAACUGAGACACGGUCCAGACUCCUACGGGAGGCAGCAGUAGGGAAUAUUGCGCAAUGGGCGAAAGCCUGAUCCAGCCAUGCCGCGUGUGUGAAGAAGGUCUUCGGAUUGUAAAGCACUUUAAGUUGGGAGGAAGGGCAGUAUGUUAAUACCUUGCUGUUUUGACGUUACCAACAGAAUAAGCACCGGCUAACUUCGUG
This 484-nucleotide ribosomal RNA is filed under the name uncultured bacterium. RNAcentral describes it as "partial 16S ribosomal RNA". It matches the Rfam family "Bacterial small subunit ribosomal RNA", at positions 30 to 507 of the family's 1533-position model. The record is from RNAcentral.